RNAcentral lists this ribosomal RNA (502 nucleotides) under uncultured bacterium. Its description in RNAcentral is "bacterial SSU rRNA". It matches the Rfam family "Bacterial small subunit ribosomal RNA", at positions 8 to 526 of the family's 1533-position model. The record is from RNAcentral.
AGAGUUUGAUCAUGGCUCAGAAUCAACGCUGGCGGCGUGCCUAACACAUGCAAGUCGAACGCGAAAGUGGAGCAAUCCAUGAGUAGAGUGGCAAACGGGUGAGUAACGCGUGGGUGACCUGCCUUCGAGUGGGGGAUAACGUUCCGAAAGGGACGCUAAUACCGCAUGUGGUUAUUGGAUUUAGAAACUAGUAACUAAAGGAGCAAUUCGCUUUGGGAGGGACCUGCGUCCCAUCAGCUAGUUGGUGAGGUAACGGCUCACCAAGGCGACGACGGGUAGGGGACCUGAGAGGGUGGCCCCCCACAAUGGAACUGAAACACGGUCCAUACACCUACGGGUGGCAGCAGUAGGGAAUAUUGCACAAUGGGCGAAAGCCUGAUGCAGCAACGCCGCGUGUGUGAUGAAGGCCUUCGGGUCGUAAAGCACUUUUCUGGGAGAUGAGAAAGGACAGUAUCCCAGGAAUAAGUCUCGGCUAACUACGUGCCAGCAGCCGCGGUAAUUC